RNAcentral lists this ribosomal RNA (399 nucleotides) under uncultured bacterium. RNAcentral's name for it is "bacterial SSU rRNA". It matches the Rfam family "Bacterial small subunit ribosomal RNA", at positions 355 to 768 of the family's 1533-position model. The record is from RNAcentral.
UGGGGAAUAUUGGGCAAUGGGGGAAACCCUGACCCAGCAAUGCCGCGUGAAGGAAGAAGGCUUUCGGGUUGUAAACUUCUUUGACGAGGGACGAAACAAAUGACGGUACCUCGAAAACAAGCCACGGCUAACUACGUGCCAGCAGCCGCGGUAAUACGUAGGUGGCAAGCGUUGUCCGGAUUUACUGGGUGUAAAGGGCGUGUAGGCGGGUCUGCAAGUCAGAUGUGAAAUUUAUGGGCUUAACCCAUAAACUGCAUUUGAAACUGCAGGUCUUGAGUGAUGGAGAGGCAGGCGGAAUUCCUAGUGUAGCGGUGAAAUGCGUAGAUAUUAGGAGGAACACCAGUGGCGAAGGCGGCCUGCUGGACAUUAACUGACGCUGAGGCGCGAAAGCGUGGGGAG